RNAcentral lists this long non-coding RNA (733 nucleotides) under Mytilus galloprovincialis (Mediterranean mussel). Lineage: Eukaryota; Metazoa; Mollusca; Bivalvia; Mytilida; Mytilidae. The record is from RNAcentral.
GCCCCCAAAUUUCACAUCCAUACAAAAGUAUGGGUUUCACAACUUUAUCAAAAAGAUCUAAGUGACAUUGAAUAGAAAGAUUAUGCAUGCGGCCUGCUUUCAACACAUUAAACAUAGCUUUUGUUGCUUUUUCUGCUAAGUGUUUCUGUGCUAUUUUAGUAUUACCAGUUCUAGAUAAUAAUAUGCCUAAAUAGUUAAAUUCUUUAACAAUUUCAAUGUCCGUGCCGUCUAUAUCAAAAUGCAAUUUUGACGGCAUUCUGCCUCUAGAAAAAAUCAUCACUUUAGUUUUCGUGACGUUAACUUUAAGCUUCCAAACAUUACAGUAUUCACUGAAAGAAUCCAGCUGUUUCUGUAAAUCAUCAGCACUUUCUGCCAAUAGUACUGUGUCGUCUGCAUAAAGGAUUACAAACAUUUUUAGAUAAAUUUGAAGCUUGGACUCCAUUUCCUCAGAAAUACUCUCAAGCCCCCGCAGGCUUUUGUCUUCCAAAAAGUGUUCUAGGUCAUUCAAAUAUAAUGCAAAUAAUAUAGGGGAUAAGUUUUCACCUUGGCGGACACCUUUGUUACACAUAAAAUAGUCUGACACAUUACUGUUAUAUACAAUAUUUGAUUUUAUAUUUUCAUAUAAAUGUAUAAUUACAUUAUACAUUUUCCCAUUUAUAUGUUGAGUAAGCAACUUAAACCAGAGUCCAUCACGCCAAAUGGUAUCAAAAGCUCUUUCGAAAUCUAUAAAGGC